UGGGGAAUAUUGCACAAUGGGCGCAAGCCUGAUGCAGCCAUGCCGCGUGUGUGAAGAAGGCCUUCGGGUUGUAAAGCACUUUCAGCGAGGAGGAAGGUGGUGAACUUAAUACGUUCAUCAAUUGACGUUACUCGCAGAAGAAGCACCGGCUAACUCCGUGCCAGCAGCCGCGGUAAUACGGAGGGUGCAAGCGUUAAUCGGAAUUACUGGGCAUAAAGCGCACGCAGGCGGUUUGUUAAGUCAGAUGUGAAAUCCCCGGGCUCAACCUGGGAACUGCAUUUGAAACUGGCAAGCUAGAGUCUCGUAGAGGGGGGUAGAAUUCCAGGUGUAGCGGUGAAAUGCGUAGAGAUCUGGAGGAAUACCGGUGGCGAAGGCGGCCCCCUGGACGAAGACUGACGCUCAGGUGCGAAAGCGUGGGGCAGCAAACAGGAUUAGAUACCCUGGUAGUCCACGCUGUAAACGAUGUCGAUUUGGAGGUUGUGCCCUUGAGGCGUGGCUUCCGGAGCUAACGCGUUAAA
Molecule: ribosomal RNA, 518 nt
Filed under: uncultured bacterium
Lineage: Bacteria
Description: partial 16S ribosomal RNA
Rfam family: Bacterial small subunit ribosomal RNA
Source: RNAcentral